Zea mays is the source of this 525-nucleotide RNA transcript. It is a transcript of the gene named ubiquinol oxidase pseudogene, with no coding region annotated. The transcript is spliced from 4 exons. The record is from RefSeq and is marked validated. NCBI's taxonomy places the organism in Eukaryota, Viridiplantae, Streptophyta, Magnoliopsida, Poales, Poaceae.
CUUGUUUCAUAUUCUUUGGUCGUGAUAACGUUUGCAACCAUGAAUAGUACAGAUUGCUUUUCCAGGUGUGUGGAGAGACAUGUGUAUUCCUCCUAUGACGAAUUCCUCAGGCUCCAUGAAGUUCCACGCAUCAAGAAGUCAAGAUUCCAGGAGGCCUAAAAUAGGAGAGGAGGGCGCAGCUUGAUUCAAUCCAUGUCAAGUCAGAGGCUGCUGCGAGGUUUGCAUAUGCAGGUAGAAUUUAGAUGGUGAGGUUUUGUCUCUGUUCCCAUUUUUAUAACGACUAGGUGUUUGAGUUCCUAAGAUUAAAGUUUAUGUAGAUUCUUCUUUGUAAUUAGAUCUUUGUUAGGCAUCUAACUGAAUAAAUGAUCUCCAUUAUGGACUGGUUAUAUUAUUUUCUGUGCGAUCGGAUGGGUUAAAGAAAAGACGUGAAAUGGUAUUUUCCAGUAUGGACUGUAUAAAUGUAAUUAUAUUCCUAUGCUGGUCCUGCUUAGCUUUCAGGUGGAUUUAUCUUGCAAAUGGUAUGUG